UGGGGGAUAUUGCACAAUGGGGGGAACCCUGAUGCAGCGACGCCGCGUGGAGGAAGAAGUAUCUCGGUAUGUAAACUCCUAUCAGCAGGGAAGAAGACAGACGGUACCUGACUAAGAAGCCCCGGCUAACUACGUGCCAGCAGCCGCGGUAAUACGUAGGGGGCGAGCGUUAUCCGGAUUUACUGGGUGUAAAGGGAGCGUAGACGGCCAUGCGAGCCUGAUGUGAAAGGCGUGGGCACAACCCGCGGACUGCAUCGGGGACUGUGUGGCUGGAGUGUUGGAGGGGCAGGCGGAAUUCCUGGUGUAGCGGUGAAAUGCGUAGAUAUCAGGAGGAACACCGGUGGCGAAGGCGGCCUGCUGGACAACGACUGACGUUGAGGCUCGAGAGCGUGGGGAGCGAACAGG
This 405-nucleotide ribosomal RNA is filed under the name uncultured bacterium. RNAcentral's name for it is "bacterial SSU rRNA". It matches the Rfam family "Bacterial small subunit ribosomal RNA", at positions 355 to 776 of the family's 1533-position model. The record is from RNAcentral.